UUGAAAUCUAUUGUUGAAUUCUUGCUGAAUUUAUUAGGGUAAAAGCAUGAUUUGGGUAGUUUUGAUCUUGACUUGGGUGUUUAAUCUUGUGAAUUUGAGAAUUAAUCUCUUGAAUUGUAGUGGUUCCUAUGGUUGAAUUAUGAAUGAAAUCUUAGGAUGUUUUUAAUGCUUGAAUUUAGUCUUUACUUGUUAAUUUUGUUGCUGGAAAAUUGUUUGGAAGGAUUGGAUUUAAGCUCAAGUUCUUGAGCUUGUUGAGUUGUAUUUUAGGAUUUGAAGAUUCAAGGUGUGAGUUUGAAUUUUGUUGAUUAAUGUUGGAAUUGAAGUUGUUAGCUCUCUAUUGUGAUGAUUUUUAUCUGUAAGAAGUUAAUUUUGGGUAUGGUAUGAUUGAGGUUCGAAUUUAUGGAAAAAUUGGCAUGUUUAGGCCUUAAAAAUGGAGCUUUUAGGUGUUCUGAACCCAGUCGUCGCGACGGGGUUUUUGGCCGUCGCGACUGGGUUUGGCAGUGAGAAAUUCUGUUUUUCCCAAUUUUAUUUUGGCCAUAACUUUUGACUCGGGACUCCGUUUGGGACGUUCUUUAUAUCGUUGGAAAGCUCGUUCCGAGCUCUAUUUGAUUAUCUGUGUUUUGAAUGCCAUGUUUAUAUUUUGUGAAAGUGAAAUUGGGGAUUAACCCUAUUUGUGAAAUCCCGGAUUGUGUGACUAGGAUUACCGGCACCUGAUCAGGAGCACCCAGGGGUUUGGAAUCUCCUUUAUUGCGGGACAACAGGAAAGGGUAAGUCAGUGGCUGAUCAACCAUGAGUUUGAGGAGCAAGAUGAAGAAUGUACAUGUUCAAGCCAUAUCAGACCAAGCGGGUUAAGGGUCUAACAGUGUUGACUUUUGUAUUCUGUUUUGCCGCUUAGGUCGGCUAGUAAGAAAGAACUUGUAAUAAGUUUGUAAAUAUUUUUGGGAUCCCAACUAUUUUGAAAAGUUUAAAUAUAUUACAAGUUUAUUUUCA
This is a long non-coding RNA of Cannabis sativa, 990 nucleotides long. RefSeq lists it as uncharacterized. The record is from RefSeq and is a predicted model, not a curated record. NCBI's taxonomy places the organism in Eukaryota, Viridiplantae, Streptophyta, Magnoliopsida, Rosales, Cannabaceae. The transcript has 2 exons.